UACGUAGGGUGCGAGCGUUAAUCGGAAUUACUGGGCGUAAAGUGUGCGUAGGCGGUUCGUUAAGUCAGCUGUGAAAGCCCCGGGCUCAACCUGGGAACUGCGGUUGAAACUGGCGAACUAGAAUCUGGCAGAGGGGGGUGGAAUUCCACGUGUAGCAGUGAAAUGCGUAGAGAUGUGGAGGAACACCGAUGGCGAAGGCAGCCCCCUGGGCUGAGAUUGACGCUCAGGCACGAAAGCGUGGGGAGCAAACAGG
RNAcentral lists this ribosomal RNA (253 nucleotides) under uncultured bacterium. RNAcentral describes it as "partial 16S ribosomal RNA". It matches the Rfam family "Bacterial small subunit ribosomal RNA", at positions 524 to 776 of the family's 1533-position model. The record is from RNAcentral.